AUUGCAGACGGAGCAACUAUUACAGCAACCGGCAACUAGCUGUUUACAAUGCUGUAUGUGUAUCUCAAUGGAACUGCGCACACGGAGCAACUCGAGUUGCGAAUUCCGGUGAUCGACAACAGUUUUCAGUUGCUGCAAUUGAUGACUAAGUUAGUUUCUAAUUGCCGCAACUAGCAACUGUCGAAUUUGUAUCGAUUUUGUAAAAUUGCUGGUCGGCACAUUGCA
This is a long non-coding RNA of Maniola jurtina (meadow brown), 225 nucleotides long. RefSeq lists it as uncharacterized. The transcript has 3 exons. Lineage: Eukaryota; Metazoa; Arthropoda; Insecta; Lepidoptera; Nymphalidae. The record is from RefSeq and is a predicted model, not a curated record.